Molecule: ribosomal RNA, 253 nt
Filed under: uncultured bacterium
Lineage: Bacteria
Description: partial 16S ribosomal RNA
Rfam family: Bacterial small subunit ribosomal RNA
Source: RNAcentral
UACAGAGGUCUCAAGCGUUGUUCGGAUUCAUUGGGCGUAAAGGGUGCGUAGGUGGCGGGGCAAGUCUGGCGUGAAAGCCCAAGGCUCAGCCUUGGAAGUGCGCUCGAAACGGCGAGGCUGGAGUGCCGGAGGGGAGAGUGGAAUUCCCGGUGUAGCGGUGAAAUGCGUAGAGAUCGGGAGGAAUACCGGUGGCGAAAGCGACUCUCUGGACGGCAACUGACGCUGAGGCACGAAAGCGUGGGGAGCAAACAGG